UACGUAGGGUGCAAGCGUUAAUCGGAAUUACUGGGCGUAAAGCGUGCGCAGGCGGUUUUGUAAGUCUGUCGUGAAAUCCCCGGGCUCAACCUGGGAACUGCGUUUGAUACGGUGUGGCUAGAGUUCGGGAGAGGAGAGUGGAAUUCCCAGUGUAGAGGUGAAAUUCGUAGAUAUUGGGAAGAACACCGGUGGCGAAGGCGGCUCUCUGGGACGGUACUGACGCUGAGACGCGAAAGCGUGGGAGCGAACGAGG
RNAcentral lists this ribosomal RNA (253 nucleotides) under uncultured bacterium. RNAcentral's name for it is "partial 16S ribosomal RNA". It matches the Rfam family "Bacterial small subunit ribosomal RNA", at positions 524 to 777 of the family's 1533-position model. The record is from RNAcentral.